AUUGAACGCUGGCGGCAUGCCUUACACAUGCAAGUCGAACGGCAGCACGGGAGCAAUCCUGGUGGCGAGUGGCGAACGGGUGAGUAAUAUAUCGGAACGUGCCCAGUCGUGGGGGAUAACGUAGCGAAAGCUACGCUAAUACCGCAUACGAUCUAUGGAUGAAAGCGGGGGAUCGCAAGACCUCGCGCGAUUGGAGCGGCCGAUAUCAGAUUAGGUAGUUGGUGAGGUAAAGGCUCGCCAAGCCGACGAUCUGUAGCUGGUCUGAGAGGACGACCAGCCACACUGGGACUGAGACACGGCCCAGACUCCUACGGGAGGCAGCAGUGGGGAAUUUUUGGACAAUGGGCGCAAGCCUGAUCCAGCAAUGCCGCGUGCAGGAUGAAGGCC
RNAcentral lists this ribosomal RNA (387 nucleotides) under uncultured bacterium. RNAcentral describes it as "bacterial SSU rRNA". It matches the Rfam family "Bacterial small subunit ribosomal RNA", at positions 30 to 416 of the family's 1533-position model. The record is from RNAcentral.